GUCUGUGCGAUAGGGUUGAUGUGCAGUCUGGCCUGCCCCCUGAGAGUUUUAAAGGGCCGCGGUAUUUGGACCGUGCUAAGGUAGCAUAAUAAAUAGUCUCUUAAUUGGAGUCUGGAAUGAAUGGUCGGACAUGAAGUAAGCUGUUUUAAUUUUUAUGCUUGAAUUUUACUUUUAAGUGAAAAGGCUUAAAUUAUAUGGUGGGACGAUAAGACCCUAUAAAGCUUACGUCUUACUCUUCAGUUGUGGGAGUUCAGGUUUCCCGUUCUUAUUGAGUAGGGCGUUUCGUUGGGGCGACGGGAAUAUAAAUAAGUAACUGUUUUUAUCUGAAAAAUAUAUUUUUAUAGGUGAGUUGAUCCUUUUUAGAGAUUAUAAGAUUUAAGUUACUUUAGGGAUAACAGCGUAAUUUAUCUUGAGAGUUCAUAUCGACAGAUGUAGUUGCGACCUCGAUGUUGAAUUAAAAUGUCCCUAAGAUGUAGCAGUUUUAGCGGUAGGUCUGUUCGACCUUUAAAAUUUUACAUGAUUUGAGUUCAGACCGGCGUAAG
This 542-nucleotide ribosomal RNA is filed under the name Caridina wyckii. Its description in RNAcentral is "partial 16S ribosomal RNA". It matches the Rfam family "Bacterial large subunit ribosomal RNA", at positions 1819 to 2625 of the family's 2925-position model. Lineage: Eukaryota; Metazoa; Arthropoda; Malacostraca; Decapoda; Atyidae. The record is from RNAcentral.